UACGUAGGGUCCGAGCGUUGUCCGGAGUUACUGGGCGUAAAGGGCGCGCAGGCGGCGGUGCUGGCCCGGCGUGAAAGCCCCCGGCUCAACCGGGGAGGGUCGUCGGGGACCGCACCGCUUGAGGGCGGUAGGGGCCGGUGGAAUGCCUGGUGUAGUGGUGAAAUGCGUAGAGAUCAGGCAGAACACCUGGGGCGAAGGCGGCCGGCUGGGCCGACCCUGACGCUGAGGGACGAAAGCUAGGGGAGCGAAUGGG
Molecule: ribosomal RNA, 253 nt
Filed under: uncultured bacterium
Lineage: Bacteria
Description: partial 16S ribosomal RNA
Rfam family: Bacterial small subunit ribosomal RNA
Source: RNAcentral